CAAUAGCGUAUAUUAAAGUUGUUGCGGUUAAAAAGCUCGUAGUUGGAUUUCUGCCGAGGACGACCGGUCCGCCCUCUGGGUGUGUAUCUGGUUUGGCCUGGGCAUCUUCUUGGAGAACGUAGCUGCACUUGACUGUGUGGUGCGGUGUCCAGGACUUUUACUUUGAGGAAAUUAGAGUGUUCAAAGCAGGCCUCGGCCUCUGAAUACAUUAGCAUGGAAUAAUAAGAUAGGACUUUGGUGGUCUAUUUUGUUGGUUUGCACGCCAAAGUAAUGAUUAAUAGGGAUAGUUGGGGGUAUUCGUAUUCAAUUGUCAGAGGUGAAAUUCUUGGAUUUAUGGAAGACGAACUACUGCGAAAGCAUUUGCCAAGGAUGUUUUCAUUAA
Molecule: ribosomal RNA, 382 nt
Filed under: uncultured eukaryote
Lineage: Eukaryota
Description: partial 18S ribosomal RNA
Rfam family: Eukaryotic small subunit ribosomal RNA
Source: RNAcentral